CGACCGGCGCACGGGUGAGUAACGCGUAUGCAACCUGCCUGAUACCGGGGUAUAGCCCAUGGAAACGUGGAUUAACACCCCAUAGUACUUUUAUCCUGCAUGGGAUGUGAGUUAAAUGUUCAAGGUAUCGGAUGGGCAUGCGUCCUAUUAGUUAGUUGGCGGGGUAACAGCCCACCAAGACGAUGAUAGGUAGGGGUUCUGAGAGGAAGGUCCCCCACAUGGAACUGAGACACGGUCCAA
RNAcentral lists this ribosomal RNA (240 nucleotides) under uncultured bacterium. Its description in RNAcentral is "partial 16S ribosomal RNA". It matches the Rfam family "Bacterial small subunit ribosomal RNA", at positions 92 to 334 of the family's 1533-position model. The record is from RNAcentral.